GACGAACGCUGGCGGCGUGCUUAACACAUGCAAGUCGAACGGAAAGGCCCUGCUUUUGUGGGGUGCUCGAGUGGCGAACGGGUGAGUAACACGUGAGUAACCUGCCCUUGACUUUGGGAUAACUUCAGGAAACUGGGGCUAAUACCGGAUAGGAGCUCCUGCUGCAUGGUGGGGGUUGGAAAGUUUCGGCGGUUGGGGAUGGACUCGCGGCUUAUCAGCUUGUUGGUGGGGUAGUGGCUUACCAAGGCUUUGACGGGUAGCCGGCCUGAGAGGGUGACCGGCCACAUUGGGACUGAGAUACGGCCCAGACUCCUACGGGAGGCAGCAGUGGAGAAUAUUGCACAAUGGGCGGAAGCCUGAUGCAGCAACGCCGCGUGCGGGAUGACGGCCUUCGGGUUGUAAACCGCUUUCGCCGGUGACGAAGCGUGAGUGACGGUAAUGGGUAAAGAAGCACCGGCUAACUACGUG
Molecule: ribosomal RNA, 468 nt
Filed under: uncultured bacterium
Lineage: Bacteria
Description: partial 16S ribosomal RNA
Rfam family: Bacterial small subunit ribosomal RNA
Source: RNAcentral